Molecule: ribosomal RNA, 501 nt
Filed under: uncultured bacterium
Lineage: Bacteria
Description: partial 16S ribosomal RNA
Rfam family: Bacterial small subunit ribosomal RNA
Source: RNAcentral
AUUGAACGCUGGCGGCAUGCCUUACACAUGCAAGUCGAACGGCAGCACGGGAGCUUGCUCCUGGUGGCGAGUGGCGAACGGGUGAGUAAUACAUCGGAACGUACCCAGGAGUGGGGGAUAACGUAGCGAAAGUUACGCUAAUACCGCAUAUUCUGUGAGCAGGAAAUCGGGGGAUCGCAAGACCUCGCGCUCUUGGAUCGGCCGAUGUCGGAUAAGCUAGUGGGUGCGGUAAAGCUCACCAAGGCGACGAUCCGUAGCAGGUCUGAGAGGAUGAUCUGCCACACUGGGACUGAGACACGGCCCAGACUCCUACGGGAGGCAGCAGUGGGGAAUUUUGGACAAUGGGGGCAACCCUGAUCCAGCCAUGCCGCGUGAGUGAAGAAGGCCUUCGGGUUGUAAAGCUCUUUCGGCGGGGAAGAAAUGGCAACGGCUAAUAUCCGUUGUUGAUGACGGUACCCGCAUAAGAAGCACCGGCUAACUACGUGCCAGCCGCCGCCGUAA